AGUGAACGCUGGCGGUAGGCCUAACACAUGCAAGUCGAACGGCAGCACAGUAAGAGCUUGCUCUUACGGGUGGCGAGUGGCGGACGGGUGAGGAAUACAUCGGAAUCUACUUUUUCGUGGGGGAUAACGUAGGGAAACUUACGCUAAUACCGCAUACGACCUACGGGUGAAAGCAGGGGAUCUUCGGACCUUGCGCGAUUGAAUGAGCCGAUGUCGGAUUAGCUAGUUGGCGGGGUAAAGGCCCACCAAGGCGACGAUCCGUAGCUGGUCUGAGAGGAUGAUCAGCCACACUGGAACGGAGACACGGUCCAGACUCCUACGGGAGGCAGCAGUGGGGAAUAUUGGACAAUGGGCGCAAGCCUGAUCCAGCCAUACCGCGUGGGUGAAGAAGGCCUUCGGGUUGUAAAGCCCUUUUGUUGGGAAAGAAAAGCAGCAGGUUAAUACCCCGCUGUUCUGGCGGUACCCAAAGAAUAAGCACCGGCUAACUUCGUG
Molecule: ribosomal RNA, 492 nt
Filed under: uncultured bacterium
Lineage: Bacteria
Description: partial 16S ribosomal RNA
Rfam family: Bacterial small subunit ribosomal RNA
Source: RNAcentral